GGGCCACGGCUGCUACUCUAUAUGUGUUUGUCAGAGAUUUGGAGCAGCCUUUCCUCAGGAGAAACGGAGGAAGCAACGGGGACCUGGAGACCAUCUUCAUAUCAAGAUCCUCCACUCACGUCACAGUACCUUGUCUAGUCACUGUGCCCGACCUCAACGUCACACUUUAUCUGUGGGAGACGAUACCUAUGCUCCUGGAGGAUGAGGGGAUGGGUGGGA
Long non-coding RNA from Oncorhynchus gorbuscha (pink salmon), 219 nucleotides. RefSeq lists it as uncharacterized. The transcript is spliced from 3 exons. Lineage: Eukaryota; Metazoa; Chordata; Actinopteri; Salmoniformes; Salmonidae. The record is from RefSeq and is a predicted model, not a curated record.